CGGGAUGUACAGGUUAGCAGGUUAAUAACGGCUGAGCCUACCCAUGUUCCUUUAAAAACUCUUCCAAAAGCUCCUUUUCCAAUCUCAUCUUCCAAGCGAAAGGAUAAGUCGUUCAGUUUAAUUAUUGGAAUUGUGGAUAUAGUACGCUUCUGUAAUGAAGAAAAUUUCUGGUUGCUUUUUUUUGGGUCUAUAACGGUUACUAUACGGGACGUGUAUGUUUGUCCAUGUACUGAAAUGGUGCAAUGGUAUUUACCUUCUUCCUAUUU
Molecule: long non-coding RNA, 266 nt
Filed under: Mytilus galloprovincialis (Mediterranean mussel)
Lineage: Eukaryota; Metazoa; Mollusca; Bivalvia; Mytilida; Mytilidae
Source: RNAcentral